This 472-nucleotide ribosomal RNA is filed under the name uncultured bacterium. RNAcentral's name for it is "partial 16S ribosomal RNA". It matches the Rfam family "Bacterial small subunit ribosomal RNA", at positions 28 to 507 of the family's 1533-position model. The record is from RNAcentral.
GACGAACGCUGGCGGCGUGCUUAACACAUGCAAGUCGAACGCUGAAGCUUGGUGCUUGCACUGGGUGGAUGAGUGGCGAACGGGUGAGUAAUACGUGAGUAACCUGCCCUUGACUCUGGGAUAAGCCUGGGAAACUGGGUCUAAUACUGGAUACGACAUGUCACCGCAUGGUGGUGUGUGGAAAGGGUUUUACUGGUUUUGGAUGGGCUCACGGCCUAUCAGCUUGUUGGUGGGGUAAUGGCUCACCAAGGCGACGACGGGUAGCCGGCCUGAGAGGGUGACCGGCCACACUGGGACUGAGACACGGCACAGACUCCUACGGGAGGCAGCAGUGGGGAAUAUUGCACAAUGGGCGAAAGCCUGAUGCAGCGACGCCGCGUGAGGGAUGACGGCCUUCGGGUUGUAAACCUCUUUCAGCACGGAAGAAGCGAAAGUGACGGUACGUGCAGAAGAAGCGCCGGCUAACUACGUG